AACGCUAGCUACAGGCUUAACACAUGCAAGUCGAGGGGCAGCAUGAACUUAGCUUGCUAAGUUUGAUGGCGACCGGCGCACGGGUGAGUAACGCGUAUCCAACCUUCCGUACACUCAGGAAUAGCCUUUCGAAAGAAAGAUUAAUACCUGAUGGUAUGAUGAGAUUGCAUGAAAUCAUCAUUAAAGAUUCAUCGGUGUACGAUGGGGAUGCGUUCCAUUAGAUAGUAGGCGGGGUAACGGCCCACCUAGUCAACGAUGGAUAGGGGUUCUGAGAGGAAGGUCCCCCACAUUGGAACUGAGACACGGUCCAAACUCCUACGGGAGGCAGCAGUGAGGAAUAUUGGUCAAUGGGCGCGAGCCUGAACCAGCCAAGUAGCGUGAAGGAUGAAGGUCCUACGGAUUGUAAACUUCUUUUAUAAGGGAAUAAAGUCACCCACGUGUGGGUGUUUGUAUGUACCUUAUGAAUAAGCAUCGGCUAACUCCGUGCCAGCAGCCGCGGUAAUACGGAGGAUGCGAGCGUUAUCCGGAUUUAUUGGGUUUAAAGGGAGCGUAGACGGGUCGUUAAGUCAGCUGUGAAAGUUUGGGGCUCAACCUUAAAAUUGCAGUUGAUACUGGCGUCCUUGAGUACGGUUGAGGCAGGCGGAAUUCGUGGUGUAGCGGUGAAAUGCUUAGAUAUCACGAAGAACUCCGAUUG
Molecule: ribosomal RNA, 694 nt
Filed under: uncultured Bacteroides sp.
Lineage: Bacteria; Pseudomonadati; Bacteroidota; Bacteroidia; Bacteroidales; Bacteroidaceae
Description: bacterial SSU rRNA
Rfam family: Bacterial small subunit ribosomal RNA
Source: RNAcentral